Molecule: long non-coding RNA, 2016 nt
Filed under: Malus domestica (apple)
Lineage: Eukaryota; Viridiplantae; Streptophyta; Magnoliopsida; Rosales; Rosaceae
Description: long non-coding RNA (MDOM_LNC015519)
Source: RNAcentral
UUACAAGUUUGCCACUCCAAUGAAUUAAGGUAUAAAUAUGACUUUAUAGCCAAAAUUCAUUUAGGGUUUUUCUUUUGGGGAAAGGAUGAGAACAUAAGCUCUCCUUUCUCUCUAAAGUGGCCGGCCUCCUUGGAGGGUUUAGCUAGCAAUCCUACUACUCCAAGGUCACUCAUUUCUUCUCCAAUCUAACCUUAGUGAAGAGACUUAGAGGUUCUCAAUUUUGGGAACUUGGAGAACCAUUUCAUCCAUCCAAAUCCAUAGAUCUAAGAUGGAAGGAAUGAAGGCCCUCUCUUUGGGUGAUUAGCCUUUGCUUAUGCAAAGAGGAAUCUACAAAGGUAUAAUUUCUCAACUAACAAAUGUUGUUUUAAGUUGAGUCAAGGUUCACCAAUCUACUAGGCUUUGAAUUUCAUGGUUGAUGUUUUGUUUUUGAGUGCAUGCAAGCAUGAUUCUGCCUUUUAAUUGUUAAUUGCAUGCUAUAGAUGUUGCUCAAAUGAACAUGUUUUUCAAAAUUUCCUUCAGUUCAAUGAUUCAUAUGUUCUUGCAUGAAAUUAUGAAGGCAAACAAAAUCCAAGUAACAAAGAUGAUUAAGAUUAAGGUGAAGGUUGUCCCCCAUGCAUUAGCAGAAAAACAGCUUAUGAAUCCUACUGUAUCCUCAAUCCUACUGCUCAUAACACCAAGAUAUAUAAAGUAAUAUGUAUUCAUGAAUUGGUUUACAAACGUCGAUGCCUGUAAUUAUUCUUCAAUAUGAUGGUAUUCCGAAAAGAAGAAGAGGUUUGAAAUUCGACAAGCUUGUAAUAGAUCUACUAUCAACUCUAUACAUGCAUAAAAUGAACAGAAAGAAAUCUUCUUUUUGUAAAGUCGGAUUGGGUGACACUAUAACCACUACACAGGACACUACGUAAUAGUCCAUUGAAAGGACAGUCAAGUGCACAAAAUUUUAACAUACUUUGGUUUAGCAGCUUUGCAUGAGGGUACUGGGUCAACAGCAAAAAAUCAUCUCCCACAAUGAGUUUUUUCUUUUUGGUCAAAUCUUGCUCAAUGAGCUUGGACUACUUGAAUUGAGAAACAAGUUAUCACAGCUGACAAUUUUAGAUUAUCAUAAAUAACUUAACCUUAUUUCGCCUAUUCAAGAUCUCUUAGAUUACCAUUUCUCACUACCUGUCAUGCCGCGCCUUAGCACCAUGACCACCUAAGAGUCCUUCAUCUCCCCUAAUUGAGAAUAAAACAUGAUAAGGCAGCACUAGAAAUGGCCAUUCGCACGCGAUACAUAAUUGCUACUUGCAAUUGUUUUUACAGUUUCAACACAAUACAAACCUUGGUCUCUCAAUAGCAUGAAUAAUGUAAUCAUAAUUGGUUAUGGUGAGCUACAAAUCAUCUACCCCUCCUUCCCUAACACACACACACACACAGAAACCCACCACCCUAAAAUUCGAUUUAACACUAAAACCCCCAAUUUCUAAUUUAAUUUUCCAAAUUGAAUCUAAUUACAAUACCACAAAUCUUCAAAUUAAGGCAUUAAAGCUUGAUUCUGACCUUCGAAAGAAGAAAAAUAAAGAAUUAAGCUUGAUUCUGACCUGGGUCUAUACCUGCUAGCUACGGGAAAAGAAUUAAGCUUGAUUCUGACAUCCAGUAGUGCAGUCGAGAGAAGAUGAGGAGAGGAUGCGGAUGAACGAUGAGGAGUAAGGCGAUAUGAGCGAGAGGGAAGAGAGAGGGCGAUAUGAGCGAGAGUGAAGAGAGACUAGUAUCGAGUUGUGAAACUUUUAAAAACAACGCCUAAUUUUAACAACUGCACCGCCAAAAUUAUUACAAAUGGCGCGACGGAUACAUUUGGACUGUCGCGCAAAGUGUUUUUGAGCGACGAAAACUUUGUCACGUCGAACAAGGUAUUUUAAAAAAUAUAUGAAAAAAUUAGUAUGCGAUCCCUAGUUUUUACUGUUUAUUGACUAAGACCUUAUUAGUUCUCAAAUUUUGAUUUAAGUUCUUAGCAUUAAUUUGAUAAUGAAUUUACAUGUUUAU